UACGUAGGGACCAAGCGUUGUUCGGAUUUACUGGGCGUAAAGGGAGCGUAGGCGGCAAUUCAAGUCAGCUGUGAAAUCUCCGGGCUUAACUCGGAACGGUCAGCUGAUACUGCUUUGCUAGAGUACAGAAGGGGCAAUCGGAAUUCUUGGUGUAGCGGUGAAAUGCGUAGAUAUCAAGAGGAACACCAGAGGUGAAGACGGGUUGCUGGGCUGAUACUGACGCUGAGGCUCGAAAGCUAGGGGAGCAAACGGG
RNAcentral lists this ribosomal RNA (253 nucleotides) under uncultured bacterium. RNAcentral's name for it is "partial 16S ribosomal RNA". It matches the Rfam family "Bacterial small subunit ribosomal RNA", at positions 524 to 776 of the family's 1533-position model. The record is from RNAcentral.